Molecule: long non-coding RNA, 151 nt
Organism: Hibiscus syriacus
Lineage: Eukaryota; Viridiplantae; Streptophyta; Magnoliopsida; Malvales; Malvaceae
Exons: 3
Source: RefSeq, a predicted model, not a curated record
CUUGGGAGUUAAAACGUGUUAAAGUAUCUUCACAAAAAACUUUAAAUAUGAAGUCUCGGAAUCUCUUCGAAUACUGCUUUGGAUCCACAGCUGAAAUAGAAGUGGGGUCGUACUGGAUGGAUUUAUAUGCAUGUUCCAGCCUCUUUGUAAU